GUCCGGGUAGCCAAGCGUUUAAGGCAUCGGUCUGCAACACCGACAAUCGUGGGUUAGAAUCCCACCCCGGACUCCA
This 76-nucleotide transfer RNA is filed under the name Calothrix parasitica NIES-267. RNAcentral describes it as "tRNA-Cys". It matches the Rfam family "tRNA". From Rfam's summary of the family: Transfer RNA (tRNA) molecules are approximately 80 nucleotides in length. Their secondary structure includes four short double-helical elements and three loops (D, anti-codon, and T loops). The record is from RNAcentral. Lineage: Bacteria; Bacillati; Cyanobacteriota; Cyanophyceae; Nostocales; Calotrichaceae. RNAcentral also lists the same sequence under 5 other names.